This 429-nucleotide ribosomal RNA is filed under the name Chloroflexota bacterium. Its description in RNAcentral is "Chloroflexi bacterium partial 16S ribosomal RNA". It matches the Rfam family "Bacterial small subunit ribosomal RNA", at positions 355 to 776 of the family's 1533-position model. The record is from RNAcentral. Lineage: Bacteria; Bacillati; Chloroflexota.
UGGGGAAUAUUGCACAAUGGGCGCAAGCCUGAUGCAGCCAUGCCGCGUGUGUGAAGAAGGCCUUCGGGUUGUAAAGCACUUUCAGCGGGGAGGAAGGCGGUGAGGUUAAUAACCUCAUCGAUUGACGUUACCCGCAGAAGAAGCACCGGCUAACUCCGUGCCAGCAGCCGCGGUAAUACGGAGGGUGCAAGCGUUAAUCGGAAUUACUGGGCGUAAAGCGCACGCAGGCGGUCUGUCAAGUCGGAUGUGAAAUCCCCGGGCUCAACCUGGGAACUGCAUUCGAAACUGGCAGGCUAGAGUCUUGUAGAGGGGGGUAGAAUUCCAGGUGUAGCGGUGAAAUGCGUAGAGAUCUGGAAGAAUACCGGUAGCGAAGGCGGCCCCCUGGACGAAGACUGACGCUCAGGUGCGAAAGCGUGGGGAGCAAACAGG